UGCAUUCACUUGUGUAAGUCGCUCUGGAUAAGAGCGUCUGCUAAAUGACUAAAA
Non-coding RNA from Salmo salar (Atlantic salmon), 54 nucleotides. NCBI's taxonomy places the organism in Eukaryota, Metazoa, Chordata, Actinopteri, Salmoniformes, Salmonidae. The record is from Rfam.